GUCCUUUUGAAUUUUAUAGAAGGUCUGACCUGCCCAGUGAUAAUUUUAACGGCCGCGGUAUACUGACCGUGCAAAGGUAGCAUAAUCAUUAGUCUUUUAAUAGAGGGCUGGAAUGAAAGGUUUAACGAGGAAUUGACUGUCUCAUUUUAUUUGUUUUAGAAUUUAAUUUUUUAGUCAAAAAGCUAAAAUCUUAUUGGAAGACGAGAAGACCCUAUAGAUCUUUAUAGAACUUUAUUUAAUUAUCUUUAUAUUAUUUUAUUUAAAUGAUUUUUUAUUUUGUUGGGGUGACAAAAAUAUAUGUAAAACUUUUUUAUUUAUUUAACAUUAAUUUAUGAUUAUUAGAUCCAUUAUUAGUGAUUGAUAGACUAAGUUACCUUAGGGAUAACAGCGUAAUCCUCCUCCAGAGUUCAUAUUUACAGGAUGGGCUUGCGACCUCGAUGUUGGAUUAAGAUGAUAAUUAGGUGUAGCCGCUUAAUUUAUAGGUCUGUUCGACCUUUAAAUUCUU
Molecule: ribosomal RNA, 505 nt
Filed under: Tramea transmarina
Lineage: Eukaryota; Metazoa; Arthropoda; Insecta; Odonata; Libellulidae
Description: partial 16S rRNA
Rfam family: Bacterial large subunit ribosomal RNA
Source: RNAcentral